CAAGGUAAAGCUUACACUUUUUACAUUGAGAAAUGAGGUUGGUUGAGGAGAUUGAUAAUAAGAUUAGUUAAGAUUGUUGGCUAGAUGACUUUGGUUGCUAAGCUAGGAUAUUGCAUAAUGUAUUUCUGUAAGAAGGAACUUUUAGAUGUGGAAUGCAAUAUUAUAGAGGUGAUGAUUUUCAUGUUUCAAAUCUGUGAGUCCCUGAUGUUCUCAACCCUCUUCCAGAGAGACUGU
This 234-nucleotide long non-coding RNA is filed under the name Brassica napus (rape). RNAcentral's name for it is "long non-coding RNA (BNAP_LNC025000)". Lineage: Eukaryota; Viridiplantae; Streptophyta; Magnoliopsida; Brassicales; Brassicaceae. The record is from RNAcentral.